RNAcentral lists this ribosomal RNA (253 nucleotides) under uncultured bacterium. Its description in RNAcentral is "partial 16S ribosomal RNA". It matches the Rfam family "Bacterial small subunit ribosomal RNA", at positions 524 to 776 of the family's 1533-position model. The record is from RNAcentral.
UACGUAGGGUGCAAGCGUUGUCCGGAAUUAUUGGGCGUAAAGAGCUCGUAGGCGGUCUGUCGCGUCUGCUGUGAAAAUCCAGGGCUCAACCCUGGACCUGCAGUGGGUACGGGCAGACUAGAGUGCGGUAGGGGAGAUCGGAAUUCCUGGUGUAGCGGUGAAAUGCGCAGAUAUCAGGAGGAACACCGGUGGCGAAGGCGGAUCUCUGGGCCAUAACUGACGCUGAGGAGCGAAAGCAUGGGGAGCGAACAGG